UCGCCAGACUCCUACGGGAGGCAGCAGUGAGGAAUAUUGGUCAAUGGGCGGGAGCCUGAACCAGCCGAGUCGCGUGAGGGAAGACGGUCCUAUGGAUUGUAAACCUCUUUUGUCGGGGAGCAAAAGACGCCACGUGUGGCGUUCCGAGAGUACCCGAAGAAAAAGCAUCGGCUAACUCCGUGCCAGCAGCCGCGGUAAUACGGAGGAUGCGAGCGUUAUCCGGAUUUAUUGGUUUUAAAGGGUGCGCAGGCGGAUUUUUAAGUCAGCGGUCAAAUCGUGGGGCUCAACCCCAUCCAGCCGUUGAAACUGGGGAUCUAGAGUGUGCGAGAGGUAUGCGGAAUGCGUGGUGUAGCGGUGAAAUGCAUAGAUAUCACGCAGAACCCCGAUUGCGAAGGCAGCAUACCGGUGCACAACUGACGCUCAGGCACGAAAGCGUGGGUAUCGAACAGGAUUAGAUACCCCCGUA
Molecule: ribosomal RNA, 466 nt
Filed under: uncultured bacterium
Lineage: Bacteria
Description: bacterial SSU rRNA
Rfam family: Bacterial small subunit ribosomal RNA
Source: RNAcentral